UUGGUGUGGGUGCCAAAUUCUCCAUAGAUCAAAACACCAAGCUUUAUACUUCCAUUUUCUCUCAAAAUUUUCUUAACAAAAAUUGACGGGGAAUUUACGUAGAUCAUUAAUCAAUCUUUGCAUGUUCGUUUGAGAUUCGACAAGUUGUCGAGCUAUCGGGUCGGAGGACCAAGGGAAUUAACGGAGUUGUUUAAAGGAGCAUUGACGGAGUAAUACCGUAGUUAAACGGUUUCUGGAAAGCUGGUCCGAUUUUGAAGGAGGCUUCCGAAUGUUUAUUUCUCGGAAGUCUAUUUUGGUAAAGACUGUAAAGAAGGUUUUAAGUUCUAGUUGUCCGCAGUAGACUAGUAUUGUCUUAUUGUAUAUAAAUGGUUUAAAGCGUAUUUAAACUCUGAUGUUUUGUCGCAUCAGUUAUUUAAUAAAUGUUUCAUACAUUUCUAUUUUCAAAGCGAAAAAUUUAUAGUG
Mercurialis annua (annual mercury) is the source of this 462-nucleotide long non-coding RNA. RefSeq lists it as uncharacterized. NCBI's taxonomy places the organism in Eukaryota, Viridiplantae, Streptophyta, Magnoliopsida, Malpighiales, Euphorbiaceae. The transcript has 3 exons. The record is from RefSeq and is a predicted model, not a curated record.